GACUAGUCCAAUUGCAGUAGUGUUUAAAACCUAUUGGUCACAACCAGUUAGGGAUUUCUGUUUUUCCUUCACUACUCCCAUUGCUUAAAUUGACUAGCCUAAA
Molecule: Y RNA, 103 nt
Organism: Macaca fascicularis (crab-eating macaque)
Lineage: Eukaryota; Metazoa; Chordata; Mammalia; Primates; Cercopithecidae
Rfam family: Y RNA
About the family: Y RNAs are components of the Ro ribonucleoprotein particle (Ro RNP), in association with Ro60 and La proteins.
Source: Ensembl